AGACUACUGUUUAUGAAAAAAGAUUAACACUAUGCUGUGAUAAAAAGUAAAAUUAAACCGUAACCAUUUGUGGUGGACUGUAUUCUAAACGUUCUCGGACAUAUUGUUUAAUUUUAAAGAUUCAGGCUAGGCAUCUCCAACCAAUGACUUACAUGUCACUAAAGAGCAUCUGGUAUUCUUCAGUUCGUUCACCUUGCACUGAAUACUAAAUACUACUAAAGAAAGACGGCUCUGUUGUAGUGAACUGUACAGUAGCUACAAUUGCGGUGCGUAUCGUAAUUUUACAGUGCACUUAGGGAAUAAAUGUACAUUUGAAAAUUCGAACAGCAGUAGAAAAUGGCUAAUUCACUAUAGUGGACUAUCGAGUGAGUGAGUGAGUGAGUGAACGUUCCUUAGUGUCCGCCGCAUUUCCCCGAGCUGAGCAUCGGCAGCCUCGCAAUUAUGCAACCCAGCCCGCUCUUAGGAAUGGCUCCGCAAUGCAGCAGACUCUGCACCGCUGCAACUGCAUUUGGCACGUGCCGGGUUUUUUUUUUUUUUUUUAUUUUUUUUAUUAAUAAAGCUAACCAAAGAGACAGUUCAAUGCGGAGAGAAGCCUUGCCCUAAGAUGAACACGGAGUGUAGGUCGCUCUGGAGUGUGUUUAACAAAAAGCUUUGUACUUUAAACUUUUUUGAUAUCCACUGCUGUUACUGACAUACAAAUAGUAGGUGCAGUAGCAGUAGUAAGUCCAUGUAUGACGAUUCUGAACAAAUUCAUGAGUAUUACUGGGGCUCCGAUGUGUAGCAGUUUAGGACAAAUACACUUUAUAGGGAACUCCUAAAUUUCACGUCUCGUGGGAAUAUUAAAACAUCCAGUAGGUAUAGAGAAACACAUAAAGUAUAGUAGCCUAGUCUGUAAACUACAAGAGCUUUUGGGUGGCAGACAACCUUCAUUAAUAUAACUAUGCCCGCAGAAGUACAUGAACAUUUAAGAUGUGCACACCUCUUUUAACCUCCAAGCCUUUCGGUGGCACUACUGUCUUCGUUCUAAGAUGCUGAUGUUUGUCUUCCCUUAAAUCCCAGUUGUCCAACCUUUGUGAUCCUGCGUCAAUCGUUUUGCUAUGUAGGUGUCAGAUCCAGAUUAUGCACUUUACAAAUUGGAUGUAUUCAAGACAUCUGAAACCACCGUGGAUGGGGAUGGCUCCAUGUUUCUUUGUCCUAGUGAUACUAACUGCUGUCUGCGCGUCUGAAAUCGAUGCUGUCCAUCACCCUGGUGGAGAUCAUACGAGGCAGAAUCCGGAAGGGCAGCACCCUUUUGGGGCUUCGCGGGAUUCUCCCACCUCAAAUGACACAGAUGUAACCUACGAUCUCUUCUCGUCCGCGGUGACCGUAAUCUUCUAUGGAAGUCACUUCGUUCCGGUUAAGAAAUUUGGCAGUGGAGAUGGCAAUGCCACUGGCAUGCCCAUAGUGGCACCAGGGAGUUUGAGCCUAGGGCUCUUUCUGUGGGCAUCCUUCAACCUGCUAAUGGGCUGGGCAAGCACCAGGUGUGUCUGUGUGUACCAGCCUCUCUGCCCGCUCAGAUACUGCCUUGCCCACUGCCUGGCUGUCCGUCUGUAAAGGUAAACCUUUGUCUCUCCCACCCAAACGUGUGCACACGUGCACACACACACACACACACACACACACACACACACACACACACACACACACACACACACACACACACACACACACAGACACACACAGACAUAUUUGAGUACAACAGGCACUGACAGAGAGUAAGUAAUAAUAUAAAAUACAGUUGAAUCUAAAAUGUUACAUCUGACAGGUAAAGCCUGAUUUUUUCCAUCUGGCUAAAUGUUAGACAAUGUUGUCCUCAUCUCCAACAAACAGGUCCUGUAUCAAAAAUGCACACGUCAAACAGGACUGCAGAGCAACAAUGUAAUGUCAGAUGUCAGAUUAGUAAAUGUAGCAUGCACAUUUUAUCCUGUUAAAUGCUGCUAAAACCUUGAAAACAUUUAGCCACUGUCAAAGGAACCAGGAGAUCCCAGCUACCUGCCUAGGCUCUAUUUCUGAUUGUAUAUACAUUACUUAGAACAUAGAACAUAGAACAUAGAUGAUCCCCAUAGCUAAAUUAGACUUGGAUGUGUUGUGGAACAGUAGGCUUUUCAUGUCACGAUUCAUCUGGAUUCUUUCAUCCAUCAUGACUGGACCUUACAGGGGUGUAAAUGUUCAUAGGCAGAGAGAAUGUAAUAUAUAUAUGAAUCUAAAAUAUAUGUAAUGCAAUAUUUAUUCAAUUUGCAAAUUGUUGCCUUAUUGAAAUAAUAUAUGCAAUGAUUAUUUUAUUUUCCACGUCCCAAGUGUAGAAUUGCUGCUUAAUGAAAGUUAUAGGGACCAAUUACAUUUUCUUUAAAUGAGGUAAACCUCCAAUGGUGAAUUAAAAUGUCAUGUUCUCUGUAUGUUCAUUUCAAGAAAAAGGAAGGUUCAACUGAACUGAUUUGCAAAUGCUAAUUUCAUGAAACAUUUUUUUCUCCUAUGUGUUGAGAGUGAGAUUUAAAUAAAGUCAAUACGUUUUAAAUUGGUUUGCGUGUGCUUGUGUCUUCAUCGUAAAUCACCACAAUUGCUUGUCUGGUAAGGUUAGAGGUUGGUGGUAAGGGCAGUAGUACAAAUGAACAAAACAUUUUGCACCAUGUCAUUGCAAUAUAAUUUUUCACUGUUCAACUUGCCAGUGUUGCGUUCGGGAAUGGUUGCCAGUGUUUGUGUGUGUAUAUGUUUGCCGCUAUUUUGCAGCAUGUUGCUCGGAAUAGACAAACGAAGAGUCGAAGAGCAGUCCUCUAUGGCUGCAGGUUGUGCUACUGGGAUGUGUUGCCAUGGAGAGUGUCUCCCUUGCAGAGAGUGUAAAUCUCGAGGGUUGGCCCCCCCUCCCAGAGCACUGGUGCAUGAUCAGUCUGUGGAGCAUGCUCUCUGUGGGGCAGCUCUGCCUGGAUAACAGGGAGAGAGAUGGAGGUCCCAGAGGAGGGAGGCUCUCAGAAGACAAGCCAACCGUGGUAAUUACAGUUGAGCUUUCAUGUGAUGUAGCCACAGUCUUGUUUGUAUUGUGUCAACAAUUUCCAGGUAUUCAAAUAGUGUAUGGUUCCAGGUCUUCAGGUGUUCUCUGGUGAGCCAAUGAAUAUAAGUCCCCUUUGAUCAUAUUAGGUUAUGUUAUUGUAUAUGUAUGUCAUAUUAAUUUAAUAAAUGUCAAUAAAUCGGUCAGUUUUCA
This is a long non-coding RNA of Clupea harengus (Atlantic herring), 3235 nucleotides long. RefSeq lists it as uncharacterized. Lineage: Eukaryota; Metazoa; Chordata; Actinopteri; Clupeiformes; Clupeidae. The record is from RefSeq and is a predicted model, not a curated record.